GGAAGGGUCGCUCAGCGGAAGAGCACCCGUGGGCCCCUGGCCCGCGGAGGCCCUCUGGCCUCGUGGCGUUCGAAUCCCACCCCUUCCG
Molecule: transfer RNA, 88 nt
Filed under: Halostagnicola sp. A56
Lineage: Archaea; Methanobacteriati; Methanobacteriota; Halobacteria; Halobacteriales; Natrialbaceae
Description: tRNA-Arg
Source: RNAcentral